This 248-nucleotide ribosomal RNA is filed under the name uncultured bacterium. Its description in RNAcentral is "partial 16S ribosomal RNA". It matches the Rfam family "Bacterial small subunit ribosomal RNA", at positions 523 to 769 of the family's 1533-position model. The record is from RNAcentral.
AUACGGAGGGUGCAAGCGUUGUUCGGGAUUUAUUGGGCGUAAAGCGCGUGUAGGCGGUUGGUUAAGUCUGAUGUGAAAGCCCUGGGCUCAACCCGGGAAGUGCAUUGGAAACUGGCUAACUUGAGUACGGGAGAGGGUAGUGGAAUUUCGAGUGUAGGGGUGAAAUCCGUAGAUAUUCGAAGGAACACCGGUGGCGAAGGCGGCUACCUGGACCGAUACUGACGCUGAGACGCGAAAGCGUGGGGAGC